This 705-nucleotide ribosomal RNA is filed under the name Triticum aestivum (bread wheat). RNAcentral's name for it is "partial small subunit ribosomal RNA". Lineage: Eukaryota; Viridiplantae; Streptophyta; Magnoliopsida; Poales; Poaceae. The record is from RNAcentral.
AUGGACCUAGGCAAAUCAAGCUCCAUCAUCUCCGAGCAGGAGAUCAAGGAGCUCUGUGCACAGAUGGACGAGAUGGUCGCUUUUAUGAAUUACAGGAUCAUACCGUCAGCCCCACUUAUCUGCAGCAGCAGCAAUGGGACAAAAGAUGAAGAAGACAAGGCGCCGCAGUCCCCGGGGAUCGACGGCAUCUUACAGCGGCUAGCUGACAUGCGGCGCGACAUGUCCAAGCUCAAAUCGGAACUGGCCCCUUUCUGGCACGAAUACCCAUAUGAGAAGAAGUCGGAGCUGACUCCGGAGGAGAGGGAGAAGAGGAUCAAAUCCUGGCACGAGUAUGAGAAGCUGGACAACAAGGACAAGGCCAGCAAGGAGAUGGAGUUCGACGUGGACGACUUCGAGGGCUACUGUCAAGGCAUGACAGCUUUAGUUGAACACUUUAGAUACACAAGUAAGAUAUAUAUGGCCAACACUACACGCCGAGACAGACCCCACACCAUCUUGCUUCCAACAAGAUCACAUUGCAGAUCUUCUCCUUCAAAAUUGCCAACAUCGAUUUGGACCUGCAAUGGCCACUCCUGGAAUGGCCACUCAAAGUGUACGGCCUCAUCGCUGCACGAGACAGUGUGGAUCGCAGACGCAAUUUUCUCUUCUUACGGGAAAGGGACAAUUUCCAAGAGAUCACCCAAGAAAAACCCUUCUUGUGCUUGA